GAUGAACGCUGGCGGUGUGCCUAAUACAUGCAAGUCGAGCGAACAGACGGGGAGCUUACUCCUCUGACGUUAGCGGCGGACGGGUGAGUAACACGUGGAUAACCUACCUAUAAGACUGGGAUAACUUCGGGAAACCGGAGCUAAUACCGGAUAACAUGUUGAACCGCAUGGUUCAACAGUGAAAGACGGUCUUGCUGUCACUUAUAGAUGGAUCCGCGUCGCAUUAGCUAGUUGGUAAGGUAACGGCUUACCAAGGCAACGAUGCGUAGCCGACCUGAGAGGGUGAUCGGCCACCCUGGAACUGAGACACGGUCCAGACUCCUACGGGAGGCAGCAGUAGGGAAUCUUCCGCAAUGGGCGAAAGCCUGACGGAGCAACGCCGCGUGAGUGAAGAAGGUCUUCGGAUCGUAAAACUCUGUUAUUAGGGAAGAACAAAUGUGUAAGUAACUAUGCACGUCUUGACGGUACCUAAUCAGAAAGCCACGGCUAACUACGUG
This 497-nucleotide ribosomal RNA is filed under the name uncultured bacterium. RNAcentral describes it as "partial 16S ribosomal RNA". It matches the Rfam family "Bacterial small subunit ribosomal RNA", at positions 28 to 507 of the family's 1533-position model. The record is from RNAcentral.